Molecule: ribosomal RNA, 559 nt
Filed under: uncultured Symbiodinium
Lineage: Eukaryota; Dinophyceae; Suessiales; Symbiodiniaceae
Description: partial Bacterial small subunit ribosomal RNA
Rfam family: Bacterial small subunit ribosomal RNA
Source: RNAcentral
CCUACGGGAGGCAGCAGUGGGGAAUAUUGGACAAUGGGCGAAAGCCUGAUCCAGCCAUGCCGCGUGUGUGAAGAAGGCCUUCGGGUUGUAAAGCACUUUUGGCGGGAACGAAAAGGACUGUGCCAAUACCACGGUUCGAUGACGGUACCCGCAGAAUAAGCACCGGCUAACUACGUGCCAGCAGCCGCGGUAAUACGUAGGGUGCGAGCGUUAAUCGGAAUUACUGGGCGUAAAGCGCACGCAGGCGGUUUGUUAAGCUAGAUGUGAAAGCCCCGGGCUCAACCUGGGAUGGUCAUUUAGAACUGGCAGACUAGAGUCUUGGAGAGGGGAGUGGAAUUCCAGGUGUAGCGGUGAAAUGCGUAGAGAUCUGAAGGAAUACCGAUGGCGAAGGCAGCCACCUGGGUCAAUACUGACGCUCAUGUACGAAAGCGUGGGGAGCAAACGGGAUUAGAUACCCCGGUAGUCCACGCCGUAAACGAUGUCUACUAGGAGCUGGGGUCUUCGGACAACUUUUCCAAAGCUAACGCAUUAAGUAGACCGCCUGGGGAGUACGGCCGCA